UACGUAGGGUGCAAGCGUUGUCCGGAUUUAUUGGGCGUAAAGAGCUCGUAGGCGGUCUGUCGCGUCUGCUGUGAAAACUAGGGGCUUAACCCCGGGCCUGCAGUGGGUACGGGCAGACUAGAGUGCGGUAGGGGAGACUGGAAUUCCUGGUGUAGCGGUGAAAUGCGCAGAUAUCAGGAGGAACACCGGUGGCGAAGGCGGGUCUCUGGGCCGUAACUGACGCUGAGGAGCGAAAGCGUGGGGAGCAAACAGG
Molecule: unclassified non-coding RNA, 253 nt
Filed under: uncultured Actinomycetes bacterium
Lineage: Bacteria; Bacillati; Actinomycetota; Actinomycetes
Description: uncultured actinobacterium contains 16S-23S intergenic spacer region
Rfam family: Bacterial small subunit ribosomal RNA
Source: RNAcentral